CGUGAGUGAUGAAGGCCCUCGGGUUGUAAAGCUCUUUCAGCAGGGACGAAAAUGACGGUACCUGCAUAAGAAGCUCCGGCCAACUUCGUGCCCGCCGCCCCGGUA
Molecule: ribosomal RNA, 105 nt
Filed under: uncultured Actinomycetes bacterium
Lineage: Bacteria; Bacillati; Actinomycetota; Actinomycetes
Description: uncultured actinobacterium partial 16S ribosomal RNA
Rfam family: Bacterial small subunit ribosomal RNA
Source: RNAcentral